CACUAUUAAAAAUAAAACAGAAAAGGAUAAUUUGUGCAUAAUACUAAGAGGAAGCAGUAUGGUCCAAUGGACAGAGCACAGGACAGGGCAUUAGGAGACCUGGGUUCACUUCCUGACUGUUGUUUGCUAUUACUCACUGGGCAAACUCUGAGCAGAUCUGGAUGAAUAAAGAAGUGCAGGGAGAGUGAAACCCAGCCAGAGAGCAGGGCUUGAGCUGGCUCCCUUUCCUGUCCACGUUGUAUUAGCAAUAGGCCAGCACACUUCCAAGAACAAGGCUGUCUCCUGAAUGAAAGAAAAAUAAAACGGAGAACAGGAGCACAAUGAUUAUACUAUUCAAGCACAAAGAGUGUCAAUUUAAGGAUUAUUAAACUUGACCUGACUGGGGAAUGGCUAAGGUAGGGUAAAACAAAAAUAGAGCUGAAAAGAACACAAACUUUUUGGUAAGAAACUUACGAGUAAUGAUUUGUUUAAUUUCUUAGCUGUUUUUGGAGCACAGAAAUUUCUCCUCUUAUGAUUUUUUUUUUUUGUACUGCAGUAGUGCCUAGAAGACCCAACCAAAGUUAAAGGCCUUAUUGUGUUAGGUGCUGUGUACCCCUCCGCCAAGAGAUUAUUUCUAUCCCAAAAAGCUUAUGAUCCCUAGUUAUUUCUCAAUGACCUAUGCACAGAUUUGAAAUGGACACCGGCAAGUAUAAAAAUGGAUCUCUUUUGGAAGUAAAUUUGGAAUUAUGAUAUUCAUUUUUGUAUUUCUUCAAAAAAUAAGCAUUUGACUGGAAAUUGGAUAAUUUUAAUGCUACUGGAUCUAUUUUUGUGUAAAAGUCCUCAACUUUGCCUGCUUGUUCAUGCAAACUCAAAAUGCCAAGCUUGUCAGAUUUCACAGUGACUAUUUUGCACAUCCCUACACAAUAAAAUGGCUCAAGAAUAUAUGCAUGGAUUUCAAAACUACAAACUGCAUUUUAAAAGCAGACUGCAGCCCAGAUUUUCAACAUCUAUGUA
Molecule: long non-coding RNA, 993 nt
Organism: Malaclemys terrapin pileata
Lineage: Eukaryota; Metazoa; Chordata; Testudines; Emydidae
Exons: 3
Source: RefSeq, a predicted model, not a curated record